CCCAUCUCCUCUUGUCCUGUCCCUGGGCACCACUGAGAAAAGACUGGCCCCAUCCUCCUGACACCCACCCUUUAAUAUUUACAGGUGUUGAUAGAUCUCCCCUCAGCCUUCUCUUCUCCAGACUAAAAAGCCCCAAGACCCUCAGCCUCUCCUCAUCAGAGAGAUGCUCCAGGCCCCUAAAGAAACAAGAUGGGACAGUGGUGGCAAGGGAUGGUGGAUGAUGAAUGUCCCAUGGGCGAUGUGGCUGCAUCCUGCCAGCCCUGGUGGCAUCACUACAGUUGCUGUGGCAACUUUCUUCACCACUUUUCUCAAGAACAGGCCGAAUGGAAACAGAAGCUCCCGCCAGGGAAUUUCCACCCCACGUCGAAAAAAAAACUGAAAAAGUGCUGGAAGCACGGCCUGACCUCUGGGAUCCCACACGUGGCCCCGCAGAGCAGGUGUGUGAGGAUGAUGCUGUGUGUAGCCCUGCAUCCCCGUGGGAGAUGAACCUGUGGAGAGGUGUGAGGCUGCCAGAAGGACGAGGCAGAGCCCUGGUGGGUGACAAACCGGUCUGAAGUCCCGCAGUGAUUUAACUUUCAGGCUCCUGCCUUUGGCUGAGGCACACGGGUUCUCCUGCACGUGCUUUGGACACUACAGGUGGGAAAUCAGAGGUGCAGGUCUGCUGGGAGCUGCUGGUCCUGGGCAUGCCCGGCUUGAUACAUCCCAUAUCAACCAAGAUACCUCGGGCUGCAGUGAGGGGGUGGGCAUUGGAUGGAGGGACUGUCCUGCGUGGCUGAGAGCACCCUGCUCUUGGGUACCUCACCUGGAGCCCUGUGUCCAGCUCUGGAGUCCUCAGUGCAGGAAGGACAUGGAGGUGUUGGAGUGAGUCCAGAGGAGGUCACAAAGAUGAUCAGAGGGUUGGAGUCCCUCUGCUGUGAGGACAGGCUGAGAGAGUUGGGAGGGUUCUUCCUGAAGAAGGCUCUAGGGAGACCUUGGAGCCCCUUCCAGUCCCUCAAGGGGCUCC
This 1003-nucleotide long non-coding RNA is filed under the name Calidris pugnax (ruff). RNAcentral describes it as "lncRNA (ENSCPUG00000018891.1)". The record is from RNAcentral. Lineage: Eukaryota; Metazoa; Chordata; Aves; Charadriiformes; Scolopacidae.